GUGGGGAAUAUUGGACAAUGGGCGAAAGCCUGAUCCAGCCAUGCCGCGUGUGUGAAGAAGGUCUUCGGAUUGUAAAGCACUUUAAGUUGGGAGGAAGGGCAGUAAGUUAAUACCUUGCUGUUUUGACGUUACCAACAGAAUAAGCACCGGCUAACUUCGUGCCAGCAGCCGCGGUAAUACGAAGGGUGCAAGCGUUAAUCGGAAUUACUGGGCGUAAAGCGCGCGUAGGUGGUUCAGCAAGUUGGAGGUGAAAUCCCCGGGCUCAACCUGGGAAGUGCCUCCAAAACUACUGAGCUAGAGUACGGUAGAGGGUAGUGGAAUUUCCUGUGUAGCGGUGAAAUGCGUAGAUAUAGGAAGGAACACCAGUGGCGAAGGCGACUACCUGGACUGAUACUGACACUGAGGUGCGAAAGCGUGGGGAGCAAACAGGAUUAGAUACCCCUGUAGUCC
Molecule: ribosomal RNA, 450 nt
Filed under: uncultured bacterium
Lineage: Bacteria
Description: partial 16S ribosomal RNA
Rfam family: Bacterial small subunit ribosomal RNA
Source: RNAcentral